This 1498-nucleotide ribosomal RNA is filed under the name Channa bleheri (rainbow snakehead). RNAcentral's name for it is "partial 16S ribosomal RNA". It matches the Rfam family "Bacterial large subunit ribosomal RNA", at positions 53 to 2597 of the family's 2925-position model. The record is from RNAcentral. Lineage: Eukaryota; Metazoa; Chordata; Actinopteri; Anabantiformes; Channidae.
ACCAAACAGCUAGCCCACCCAUUUAAAAUCAAAACAUCAUCAUCAAUAACCCCUAAAAUACGACCACAAGCAUAACCAAAUCAUUUUUCCUCCUAAGUACGGGCGACGGAAAGGGAGCUCGGAGCCAUAGACAAAGUACCGCAAGGGAAUGCUGAAAGAGAUAUGAAACAGCCCAGUAAAGUAACAAAAAGCAGAGAUCAACCCUCGUACCUUUUGCAUCAUGAUUUAGCCAGUCCCCCCAGGCAAAGAGAACUUUAGUCUGGCCCCCCGAAACUAAGUGAGCUACUCCAAGACAGCCUAUAAAGGGCCAACCCGUCUCUGUGGCAAAAGAGUGGGAAGAGCUUUGAGUAGAGGUGACAAAUCUACCGAACUUAGUAAUAGCUGGUUGCCUGGAAAAUGAAUAGAAGUUCAGCCUUCCAGUUUCUUCCCUCACACAGUUUUACCCCUCAGACACAAAGAAAUUAGAAGAGUUAAUCGAAGGGGGUACAGCCCCUUCGAACAAGAAACAACUUUUAUAGCCGGGUAAAGAUCAAAAUGACUUAAGGGAACAUGUCUAAGUGGGCUUAAAAGCAGCCAUCUAAGCAGAAAGCGUUAAAGCUCAGACAUACCCCACUUCCCCCAAUCCCGAUAAUGCCAUCUCAACCCCCUUUCCUUACCAGGCUGUUUUAUGCAAACAUAAAAGCACCCAUGCUAAUAUGAGUAAUAAGAAAGGCACCAGCCUUUCUCCCAGCACGCACAUACAUCGAAACGGACCUUCCAUCGAACAUUACCGGCCCCAAACAAAGAGGGUAACGAGCAACUAACAAACAACCAGAAAAUCACUCAUAAAAGACCGUUAAGCCUACACUGGCGUGCUUACUAGGAAAGACCAAAAGAAAAAGAAGGAACUCGGCAAACACAUUAGCCUCGCCUGUUUACCAAAAACAUCGCCUCUUGUGAAUUAAAAAUAAGAGGUCCCGCCUGCCCAGUGACACUAUGUUCAACGGCCGCGGUAUUCUGACCGUGCAAAGGUAGCGCAAUCACUUGUCUUUUAAAUGAAGACCCGUAUGAAUGGCAUAACGAGGGCCUAACUGUCUCCUUUUUCCGGUCAAUGAAAUUGAUCUCCCCGUGCAGAAGCGGGGCUACAACCAUAAGACGAGAAGACCCUGUGGAGCUUUAGACGCCAGGUCAGACCUUGUUAAACACCCCCCCCAACAUGGGAAACAACGAAAGGGCCCUGUCCUACUGUCUUCGGUUGGGGCGACCCCGGAGAACACAAAACCUCCAUGUGGAAUGGGAGUACUUCUCCCACAACCAAGAGUAGCUACUCUAAGCAAUAGAAUCUCUAACCAAAAGAUCCGGCAAAGCCGAUCAACGAACUAAGUUACCCCAGGGAUAACAGCGCAAUCCCCUUUCAGAGUCCCUAUCGACAAGGGGGUUUACGACCUCGAUGUUGGAUCAGGACAUCCUAAUGGUGCAACCGUUAUUAAGGGUUCGUUUGUUCAACGAUUAAAGUCCU